Molecule: long non-coding RNA, 227 nt
Organism: Neocloeon triangulifer
Lineage: Eukaryota; Metazoa; Arthropoda; Insecta; Ephemeroptera; Baetidae
Exons: 2
Source: RefSeq, a predicted model, not a curated record
UUAUUCUCAACCUGUUUGGAGCAAACGCUUCGAUCGCAAGUAGUGCAGUAGAUUCAGCUUGACCCCGCGGCUCAAGUCCAAUCUGGCAACCAAAUGUUCUGGGUGUAAUAUUCACUGACACAAUGAACUGGCGUGCACAGUGCGAAUAUGCGAGUGGGAAACUAAGAAGUGCAACAUACUUGUUUGUGAAAAUGGGCAAGAGAGUGCCUAAGAGUAGUCUCAGACAG